GUGCCGAGUGGACAAGGCACCUGCCCGGUAAGCAGAAGGGUGUGGGUUCUAUUCCCGCCCCUGGACA
This 67-nucleotide transfer RNA is filed under the name Cordylochernes scorpioides. Its description in RNAcentral is "tRNA-Thr". The stretch from base 3 to 58 matches the Rfam family "tRNA", at positions 10 to 63 of the family's 71-position model. From Rfam's summary of the family: Transfer RNA (tRNA) molecules are approximately 80 nucleotides in length. Their secondary structure includes four short double-helical elements and three loops (D, anti-codon, and T loops). Lineage: Eukaryota; Metazoa; Arthropoda; Arachnida; Pseudoscorpiones; Chernetidae. The record is from RNAcentral.